AUUGAACGCUGGCGGCGUGCUUAACACAUGCAAGUCGAUCGGUAACAGGUGUAGCAAUACAUGCUGACGAGAGGCGGACGGGUGAGUAAUGCUUGGGAAUCUGCCUAUUAGUGGGGGACAACCCGGGGAAACUCGGGCUAAUACCGCAUACGCUCUACGGAGGAAAGCCGGGGACCGCAAGGCCUGGCGCUAAUAGAUGAGCCCAAGUCGGAUUAGCUAGUUGGUAGGGUAACGGCCUACCAAGGCGACAAUCCGUAGCUGGUCUGAGAGGACGACCAGCCACACCGGAACUGAGACACGGUCCGGACUCCUACGGGAGGCAGCAGUGGGGAAUAUU
This 337-nucleotide ribosomal RNA is filed under the name uncultured bacterium. Its description in RNAcentral is "bacterial SSU rRNA". It matches the Rfam family "Bacterial small subunit ribosomal RNA", at positions 30 to 365 of the family's 1533-position model. The record is from RNAcentral.